CAAUAGCGUAUAUUAAAGUUGUUGCAGUUAAAAAGCUCGUAGUCGGAUUUUGGCUGAGAACGAUCGGUCCGCCGUUAGGUGUGCACUGAUUGGUCUCAGCUUCCUGGUGAGGAGGUGUGCUUCACGGCCACUUAGUCACCGUGGUUACUUUGAAAAAAUUAGAGUGUUCAAAGCGGGCUUACGCUUGAAUAUAUUAGCAUGGAAUAACACCAUAGGACUCCUGUCCUAUUUCGUUGGUCUCGGGACGGGAGUAAUGAUUAAGAGGAACAGUUGGGGGCAUUCGUAUUUCAUUGUCAGAGGUGAAAUUCUUGGAUUUAUGAAAGACGAACUUCUGCGAAAGCAUUUGCCAAGGAUGUUUUCAUUGA
This 365-nucleotide ribosomal RNA is filed under the name uncultured eukaryote. RNAcentral's name for it is "partial 18S ribosomal RNA". It matches the Rfam family "Eukaryotic small subunit ribosomal RNA", at positions 592 to 976 of the family's 1831-position model. The record is from RNAcentral.